Molecule: long non-coding RNA, 1096 nt
Filed under: Manacus vitellinus (golden-collared manakin)
Lineage: Eukaryota; Metazoa; Chordata; Aves; Passeriformes; Pipridae
Description: lncRNA (ENSMVIG00005017027.1)
Source: RNAcentral
AAAAAUACCCACCUCAUUUUUGUGGUCUGGGAGCUCCUUUCUGCAGCCUUAUCUGAUCAACUCUGCUGGCAGCACCCACUGCUGGAAACUCUUUGCCUCCAGGCAUGUGCUUCUCCAGCACAAAGGCUCUGGAAGGCAAUCAGGCUGCCUCACGCCCCGACUCGUCCCGCAGAGAGCCGGGGUUUGCAGUGCUGUGCAAACCAGGCGCUCCUCGGCAGCACGUGGAGCUGGUGAUGGACCCCCAGGUUUGGGAAUCGAGGAGCCCAGCACCUUGAGAGCACCUCCCACGGGUAGGACUGAGCUGCUGCUUCUCUCACACCCACAGCAACUGGAGUUUUUCACUCUACAAUGAGUUUUCCAGUGGAGAGACCUUCCUCCACUCUCCACCCCACUGGCUGUCCUGGAGGCACCUGAGGAAGCUCCUGGUUUGCUUUCCAUCCCUGUGUUUGCUCCAGGAUUCCCCUUCCCCUGGCUCACAGGGUGGAGGAGGAGGAGAUAGUCCAGCUCUGCUCCUUCCACUUCCCACCUGGAUCGAAGGGAAAGGGCUGUUGGCAGCAGCCCAGGCCCUGCUGGGAAGGGACAUUUCACCUCCUGGCUGGCUCAGAAGGGGUGUUUGAUGCCCCCAUGGUUCCUCCUGCCCCUCCUGGGCUGUGUCUGUAGCACCCAGUGUUCCCCUGCAUGGACCUUCAAGGCUAAACCAGACCGAAGAGAAAACCUCUGGUUUUAUUUUUGUUUUUCCUGCCCUUGACAUUUCCCCGCUGUUCAGUGUCUUGCUGUUUACAACAAAACCUUGCCUUGCCCUGCUGGAAACCCCAGUAUUUGUAAACAUGAGAAUCAUGAAGUGAAAGCAGCCAGGAAGCAAGUUCCGAGGGGAUGGACUGGGCUGCUCCAACUGCUGCAGAAUAUCUCAGGAAAAGGGAAAUUUCACUGGAACAGGCCUUGGCUGGUGUGGUCUGAAAUCGUCUCCUCACCAGGGAUGGGAUGUGAAAGCAGCUGCUGCUCUGAGUGCAAGUGUUCCUCAGGCUGGUUUACAUUCUCAGGAAUCCAGCAGGGAUGUUUUAUUAAGGAAAAUAGAGUCCUUUAUGCUGUCAGCACC